AGUUUAUGUCCCACAUGGUCUUCAUUGUGUUGAGAGCAGAGAAAUCAUUUCCAUAGAGAGGAGGCUUUGCAUCAUCAGCUGAUCCUCCAGAGAACUGAGAAGGUUUAUAGUCCUGUGAGUUCAACACUGCAGGACUCAGAUCUGUCAGUCAACACAGCAGAAAGCACAACCACCAUGACUCUCAUCACCAUCCUCAUCUGGACGCUGGCCUGCUGCUGUUUUACAGGAUGCAGCGGUCAGGUGACUGUGACUCAGCCUCCAGUAGUGACAUUUACUCCAGGAUCCACUGUUACUCUCAAAUGCACAACCAGCCCUGCUGUGUAUUCAAAUUGUAAUAAUGAAGGCCAUUGGUACCUUCAGAAACCUGGACAGCCUCCUAAACUUCUUAUAUACACAGCUUCAACCUUGUUCUCAGGAACUCCGUCUAGAUUCAGAGGCAGUAGAUCUGGUUCUCAGUACACUUUAACCAUCAGUGGUUUCCAGGCUGAAGAUGCUGGAGAUUAUUACUGUCUGGGUGCCCAUGGUGGUGCGUUCACACAGUGAUUUAGAGCCGUACAAAAACCUCCUUGAGCCUGACUGAAGGCUGCAGGUGCAGAGAGUUGAUGAAGAGACUGUGAUGAAGAUAACUGGUCCAGUGAACACAACACAACAGUCAUCAAGCAGAAA
Non-coding RNA from Melanotaenia boesemani (Boeseman's rainbowfish), 666 nucleotides. Lineage: Eukaryota; Metazoa; Chordata; Actinopteri; Atheriniformes; Melanotaeniidae. The record is from the annotation of a RefSeq genome assembly.